CCUACGGGAGGCAGCAGUAGGGAAUCUUCCACAAUGGGCGAAAGCCUGAUGGAGCAACGCCGCGUGGGUGAUGAAGGUCUUCGGAUCUGUAAACUCUGUUUUUAGAGAAGUAAGAGCGUGAGAGUAACUGUUCACGUUUCGACGGUAUCUAACCAGAAAGCCACGGCUAACUACGUGCCAGCAGCCGCGGUAAUACGUAGGUGGCAUGCGUUAUCCGGAUUUAUUUGGUGUAAAGGGAACGCAGGCGGUCUUUUAAGUCAGAUGUGAAGGGCUUCGGCUCAACCGGAGUAGUGCAUUGGAUACUGGGAGUCUUGAGUGCAGAAGAGGAGAGUGGAACUCCAUGUGUAGCGGUGAAAUGCGUAGAUAUCUGGAAGAACCCCAGUUGCGAAGGCGGCUCUCUGGUCUGUAACUGACGCUGAGGUUCGAAAGCGUGGGUAGCAAACAGGAUUAGAUACCCGGGUAGUC
This 465-nucleotide ribosomal RNA is filed under the name uncultured bacterium. RNAcentral describes it as "partial 16S ribosomal RNA". It matches the Rfam family "Bacterial small subunit ribosomal RNA", at positions 338 to 795 of the family's 1533-position model. The record is from RNAcentral.